This 879-nucleotide long non-coding RNA is filed under the name Chinchilla lanigera (long-tailed chinchilla). RNAcentral's name for it is "lncRNA (ENSCLAG00000027012.1)". The record is from RNAcentral. Lineage: Eukaryota; Metazoa; Chordata; Mammalia; Rodentia; Chinchillidae.
CACUGUCCUUAGAUAUUCACUUACUGUGUCCGGCUGUGAGCCAAAGGGACAAGGUUCCUACCAUCGUGGAGCUCAGAUUUUAGAAGAGAUUUUAGACAGCAGAAAGGACAAAGGAGCCAAACCAGGCUGAUGUGCAUCCUGAAAGCCUUUCUGCUUCAUGACGAAAUCUCCUCCAUCACUGCUGGCUUUUGGGAGAUGAUCACCCCACAGUUCCUGGAGGAGAGAGAGGGGAGAGAGAGAGAGAGAGAAAGAUUGGCUCCACGGUGAUCAUUCAACGUCACAUACUACUCAUAUUGCAAGAUGCCACUCAUUUGCCAAGUGAAAAUUGAUUAGAAAUAUUUGCUUGUCUUGUGGAACACUUGCGGGACAAGUUAUUCAUGAUCCAAGGUUUAACUGAUGUCAAAAUAACUAGUUACUUUAUAAAUACAGAUUUUUAUUUUCUUCUGUAUUUUCAGAAGUUCCCACAAACAACAUUUAUAAAUAUGAUCUCAAAUAUAUUAUAUAUUUAAAUAUAUAUAUCAUGUACUAUUUGACUUUGAAAAUAAAUGGAAACCUUACUUGUUACCUAAUGCAUAAUUAGAUAUAAAAUAGAUAUGUUGAGAGAGAGAGAGCUCCAUGGCAAAAAACUGAAAGAAUAAACAAAAUAUUGACAAAAUUAAUGUUGCAGUCAGGGUUUGCAAGGGAAUGGAUUUAAUAAAGGACACAUAACUUAUGACAUUAUUUUAUAAUAUUCACCCAAAGAAGGGGCUGGGGAUUUAGCUCAGUGGCACAGCGCCUGCCUGGCAAGCGCAAGGUCGUGAGUUUGAUUCCUGGUACCGGAAAAAGAAACAAAAAACAAAAAAAAUAUAUUCACCCAAAGAGUCAAAUGCAAAAAAGUGC